UACGUAGGCAGCAAGCGUUGUUCGGAGUUACUGGGCGUAAAGGGUGCGUAGGCGGUCCUAUAAGUAUGGUGUGAAAUCUCCCGGCUUAACUGGGAGGGUGCGCUAUAGACUGUGGGACUAGAGUGUGGGAGAGGAAAGUGGAAUUCCUGGUGUAGCGGUGAAAUGCGUAGAUAUCAGGAGGAACACCAAUAGCGAAGGCAGCUCGCUGGGACGUUACUGACACUGAGGCGCGAAAGCGUGGGGAGCGAACAGG
This 253-nucleotide ribosomal RNA is filed under the name uncultured bacterium. RNAcentral's name for it is "partial 16S ribosomal RNA". It matches the Rfam family "Bacterial small subunit ribosomal RNA", at positions 524 to 776 of the family's 1533-position model. The record is from RNAcentral.